This is a long non-coding RNA of Topomyia yanbarensis, 2095 nucleotides long. RefSeq lists it as uncharacterized. Lineage: Eukaryota; Metazoa; Arthropoda; Insecta; Diptera; Culicidae. The transcript has 3 exons. The record is from RefSeq and is a predicted model, not a curated record.
AAUUUGUUGAUAAUGGUUUAUGAAAAUGAAGGAAAACCAUCAUUUUAUAAGAUGAUGAGUAAACAUCUUGCGAAAAGAGUGUAAAACAUAGUGGUUUCUAAUAUUAUUCGCAGAGCUAUAUACGCGCUGUUUCGAAAUGUAAUUUGUUGAACACCGUAGCCGCCGCAACAGCAUUUCCCGUUCGUCCUAAGUUAAGCUAAACCUUCAUGAGAUGGUGUAAAUUCAUGAAACUCCAGAUCAGGCGAGGAAAGAAUAUAUCCGGCUAAUAGGAAAGUGUCAGCUUUGUAUCAUGCACAGCCGAUCCUUCUCUCCUACGUAGCUCAAAAUAUGAAGGAGUUUGACAUUGGUACUGAUUGGGUCUCGGCUUCGAGUUGGAACUUUAUUUAUGGAACGAUUUUUUAUAACCACAAUACCCCGAUUACAUUUCGAAGAAAUGUAUGAGUGAAAUAGUUGCAAAUGGGUGUAAUUUCAGAAUAAUUGCAAAUAAAACACGUUUCAUUCAUAUUUUGGCAGUGGUAAGCUUUUUCCGAGAAGAUAAUGAAGAUUUUAUUGUAAGCUACGACUCACUUACGGGUGAAAAAAAGCAAACUGUAUCACUUUGCCAGUUCAUGAGCUGAAUCAUAGGUGUCGCAUGACUAAUUUUGGUUUUGCCGCAAAUCGCCAAUAGAAAAUGCAGGUAAAAAGAGCGAUUUUCAAUUGAAAACACUGAAAAUACAUAUUAUCUCAAGCAGAGUGUCACGACAUUCCUUUCGGCUUUCUCCGAAUUUCGCACAGCUGGUUGCGAAUAAACUCGAUCGUAAUGCUUACGUUCCACAAUCAGCUCAGGGACGACUUUUUACCAUAAUUAGGCGUUCGAAUCGAGGAAUAUUCUCUAAAUCUUUGCCAUAUGAGCGUGAAAUGUACAGAGCUGGCUACAUUCCUUGACUUGAUACAAAGUUUAUGUAACUGACAAGUUUUCGUUCUGCUGAUAAAAAAUUACAAAUUACAUCUGAGGUUUGCAAUGCUUGAAAUUUUGCGUAGCUUGACACCAGCCCUAAAUGGUUUGCACAGCAACUGAGUACAUUGAUUUGGAUUACGAGCGAAUUCUCAUGGUGCUAUGCAUUUGAUACAAUAUUUACGGAGGACGUGAAGCAUAAAGAUACCACGUUAGAACAAAAUUCUAAUGACCUGAUCGGGAUGAACUGUUUGAUUAGGGAGAACGUAAUAUAAUGCUUGCAAUAUCUGCUAUAGGCGAUGUAUACCAAAACCAAAACAUGGAAAAUCAGUUCAAGCAACUUUGCAAAAAGAAAUCAAGCAAUUUAGGAAUUGUCAAGCCCUUGGAUCAAUAUGUACCUGUCAUCGAAUCAGAUCAUUUUCUAAGCAAGUAGGUAUGCGAAGAUAUCGGCGAAAUGAUAGUACGCUACACACUGAACAUGGAGAUAUUUUAACUUUUUGGGAGCUGCAUCGAGAACAUUGUCACGAAAAGGUACGGCUACAAAGCCGCACGAAUAUUCACAGCUUAAUUCAUAGCAUAGUACUGCCGCAUUUAAGUUAAAAAUAUAUUGUUGAGUAAGAUUAAAGUACGUGGUUUUAUCCAUAUUCAUUAUACACAAUGGCACAUGAUUUUUGGAAAAUUCAUUCGAAAAUAACAUGAUAAACUAAUGAAUUAAAACAUAUUUCGUUGAUCUUAUCAUAUCGACAAUCGAAACAAAAUACAAAUCUGUUGAUAGAAUUAGUUAGUUUCGUUAGUUUAAACGCAAAUCGCGCCAAUUACGCGAAACGCCACUUGCUGGCGCGGGUUGCCUUCGAAAUAUUUCUUAAUAUAGAUUUAUAUUUCAGUGAUACAACGUGAUAUGACGGCAAUAAACUUUUUUGAAUAUAAUUUGGCUUUUUAUUUCUGGGUAACAAGUCCUCUUUAUAAUUAACAAAAUCAUUAGCUGUUUCAACUGGAUGGGAAUUAUUUCAAUAUUACAAUUGAUUGAAACAACCAUCUUGGUUUACAGUUUCAACUUGCAACAAUCUUGAAAUCGACAAUUAUAUUAGUUGUUAGAACUGGUUGGGAAUUAUUUCAACAUUACAAUUGAUUGAAACAACCAUCGUGGUUUUCAGUUUGAAC